CUUAAUGUGUUUCCACUCAGAAAUUUUGAAUUAUGAUAUUAAAUGGAUUAUGAUAUUAAAAAGAUGAAUUAUGAUAUUAAAUGGACUACUAUUAGCAUUU
This is a non-coding RNA of Caenorhabditis elegans, 100 nucleotides long. Lineage: Eukaryota; Metazoa; Nematoda; Chromadorea; Rhabditida; Rhabditidae. The record is from Ensembl.